GACGAACGCUGGCGGCGUGCUUAACACAUGCAAGUCGAACGGAAAGGCCCUGCUUUUGUGGGGUGCUCGAGUGGCGAACGGGUGAGUAACACGUGAGUAACCUGCCCUUGACUUUGGGAUAACUUCAGGAAACUGGGGCUAAUACCGGAUAGGAGCUCCUGCUGCAUGGUGGGGGUUGGAAAGUUUCGGCGGUUGGGGAUGGACUCGCGGCUUAUCAGCUUGUUGGUGGGGUAGUGGCUUACCAAGGCUUUGACGGGUAGCCGGCCUGAGAGGGUGACCGGCCGCAUGGGGAUGUAGAUGGGGCAGAGCCGGCAGCGGGAGGCAGGAGCGGGGGAUGGGGGAGCGGGGGCGGAAGCAUGGGGCCGCAACGACGCGUGGAAGAGGGCGGUGUAGUGGUAAAAAGGCGCAUCCCACUGUAAAGAAGCGUGACAGACGUGGAUGGAAAAAAAGGCACCAGCGAAAUACAU
Molecule: ribosomal RNA, 467 nt
Filed under: uncultured bacterium
Lineage: Bacteria
Description: partial 16S ribosomal RNA
Rfam family: Bacterial small subunit ribosomal RNA
Source: RNAcentral